GUGGGGAAUAUUGGACAAUGGGCGCAAGCCUGAUCCAGCCAUGCCGCGUGAGUGAUGAAGGUUUUCGGACUGUAAAGCUCUGUUGUUUGGGACGAAAGUGCCUGUUGCGAACAGUUACGGGUAUUGACGGUACUAAACGAGGAAGCCACGGCUAACUACGUGCCAGCAGCCGCGGUAAUACGUAGGUGGCAAGCGUUGUCCGGAAUUAUUGGGCGUAAAGAGCAUGUAGGCGGGAAUCUAAGUCUGUUGUUAAAAUGCGGGGCUCAACCCCGUAUUGCGAUGGAAACUGGGUUUCUUGAGUGCAGGAGAGGAAAGGGGAAUUCCCAGUGUAGCGGUGAAAUGCGUAGAUAUUGGGAGGAACACCAGUGGCGAAGGCGCCUUUCUGGACUGUGUCUGACGCUGAGAUGCGAAAGCCAGGGUAGCGAACGGGAUUAGAAACCCCGGUAGUCC
This 450-nucleotide ribosomal RNA is filed under the name uncultured bacterium. Its description in RNAcentral is "partial 16S ribosomal RNA". It matches the Rfam family "Bacterial small subunit ribosomal RNA", at positions 354 to 796 of the family's 1533-position model. The record is from RNAcentral.